This 887-nucleotide ribosomal RNA is filed under the name uncultured Streptococcus sp. Its description in RNAcentral is "bacterial SSU rRNA". It matches the Rfam family "Bacterial small subunit ribosomal RNA". The record is from RNAcentral. Lineage: Bacteria; Bacillati; Bacillota; Bacilli; Lactobacillales; Streptococcaceae.
GACGAACGCUGGCGGCGUGCCUAAUACAUGCAAGUAGAACGCUGAAGGAGGAGCUUGCUUCUCCGGAUGAGUUGCGAACGGGUGAGUAACGCGUAGGUAACCUGCCUGGUAGCGGGGGAUAACUAUUGGAAACGAUAGCUAAUACCGCAUAAGAGUAGAUGUUGCAUGACAUUUGCUUAAAAGGUGCAAUUGCAUCACUACCAGAUGGACCUGCGUUGUAUUAGCUAGUUGGUGGGGUAACGGCUCACCAAGGCGACGAUACAUAGCCGACCUGAGAGGGUGAUCGGCCACACUGGGACUGAGACACGGCCCAGACUCCUACGGGAGGCAGCAGUAGGGAAUCUUCGGCAAUGGACGGAAGUCUGACCGAGCAACGCCGCGUGAGUGAAGAAGGUUUUCGGAUCGUAAAGCUCUGUUGUAAGAGAAGAACGAGUGUGAGAGUGGAAAGUUCACACUGUGACGGUAUCUUACCAGAAAGGGACGGCUAACUACGUGCCAGCAGCCGCGGUAAUACGUAGGUCCCGAGCGUUGUCCGGAUUUAUUGGGCGUAAAGCGAGCGCAGGCGGUUAGAUAAGUCUGAAGUUAAAGGCUGUGGCUUAACCAUAGUACGCUUUGGAAACUGUUUAACUUGAGUGCAAGAGGGGAGAGUGGAAUUCCAUGUGUAGCGGUGAAAUGCGUAGAUAUAUGGAGGAACACCGGUGGCGAAAAGCGGCUCUCUGGCUUGUAACUGACGCUGAGGCUCGAAAGCGUGGGGGAGCAAACAGGAUUAAUACCCUGGGUAGUUCCAAGGGCGAAUUCCACAGUUGGAUAUCAAGCUUAUCGAUACCGUCGACCUCGGGGGGGGAAACAAGGAACCAGCUUUUGUUCCUUUAGUGAGGGGUUAAUUA